UUGAAAGGCGCUUUCGGGUGUCGCUGAUGGAUGGACCCGCGGUGCAUUAGCUAGUUGGUGAGGUAACGGCUCACCAAGGCCACGAUGCAUAGCCGACCUGAGAGGGUGAUCGGCCACAUUGGGACUGAGACACGGCCCAAACUCCUACGGGAGGCAGCAGUAGGGAAUCUUCGGCAAUGGACGAAAGUCUGACCGAGCAACGCCGCGUGAGUGAAGAAGGUUUUCGGAUCGUAAAACUCUGUUGUUAGAGAAGAACAAGGAUGAGAGUAACUGUUCAUCCCUUGACGGUAUCUAACCAGAAAGCCACGGCUAACUACGUGCCAGCAGCCGCGGUAAUACGUAGGUGGCAAGCGUUGUCCGGAUUUAUUGGGCGUAAAGCGAGCGCAGGCGGUUUCUUAAGUCUGAUGUGAAAGCCCCCGGCUCAACCGGGGAGGGUCAUUGGAAACUGGGAGACUUGAGUGCAGAAGAGGAGAGUGGAAUUCCAUGUGUAGCGGUGAAAUGCGUAGAUAUAUGGAGGAACACCAGUGGCGAAGGCGGCUCUCUGGUCUGUAACUGACGCUGAGGCUCGAAAGCGUGGGGAGCAAACAGGAUUAGAUACCCUGGUAGUCCACGCCGUAAACGAUGAGUGCUAAGUGUUGGAGGGUUUCCGCCCUUCAGUGCUGCAGCUAACGCAUUAAGCACUCCGCCUGGGGAGUACGACCGCAAGGUUGAAACUCAAAGGAAUUGACGGGGGCCCGCACAAGCGGUGGAGCAUGUGGUUUAAUUCGAAGCAACGCGAAGAACCUUACCAGGUCUUGACAUCCUUUGACCACUCUAGAGAUAGAGCUUCCCCUUCGGGGGCAAAGUGACAGGUGGUGCAUGGUUGUCGUCAGCUCGUGUCGUGAGAUGUUGGGUUAAGUCCCGCAACGAGCGCAACCCUUAUUGUUAGUUGCCAUCAUUCAGUUGGGCACUCUAGCAAGACUGCCGGUGACAAACCGGAGGAAGGUGGGGAUGACGUCAAAUCAUCAUGCCCCUUAUGACCUGGGCUACACACGUGCUACAAUGGGAAGUACAACGAGUCGCGAAGUCGCGAGGCUAAGCUAAUCUCUUAAAGCUUCUCUCAGUUCGGAUUGUAGGCUGCAA
This 1122-nucleotide ribosomal RNA is filed under the name Leuconostoc pseudomesenteroides. RNAcentral's name for it is "bacterial SSU rRNA". It matches the Rfam family "Bacterial small subunit ribosomal RNA", at positions 200 to 1310 of the family's 1533-position model. The record is from RNAcentral. Lineage: Bacteria; Bacillati; Bacillota; Bacilli; Lactobacillales; Lactobacillaceae.